UGGUGGAGUGAUUUGUCUGCUUAAUUGCGAUAACGAACGAGACCUUAACCUGCUAAAUAGCCAGGCUAACUUUGGUUGGUCGCCGGCUUCUUAGAGAGACUAUCAACUCAAGUUGAUGGAAGUUUGAGGCAAUAACA
RNAcentral lists this ribosomal RNA (137 nucleotides) under uncultured eukaryote. RNAcentral's name for it is "partial 18S ribosomal RNA". It matches the Rfam family "Eukaryotic small subunit ribosomal RNA", at positions 1299 to 1458 of the family's 1831-position model. The record is from RNAcentral.